CGUAGGUAACCUGCCUGGUAGCGGGGGAUAACUAUUGGAAACGAUAGCUAAUACCGCAUAAAAUUGAUUAUUGCAUGAUAAUUAAUUGAAAGAUGCAAUUGCAUCACUACCAGAUGGACCUGCGUUGUAUUAGCUAGUUGGUGAGGUAACGACUCACCAAGGAGACGAUACAUAGCCGACCUGAGAGGGUGAUCGGCCACACUGGGACUGAGACACGGCCCAG
Molecule: ribosomal RNA, 223 nt
Filed under: uncultured Streptococcaceae bacterium
Lineage: Bacteria; Bacillati; Bacillota; Bacilli; Lactobacillales; Streptococcaceae
Description: partial 16S ribosomal RNA
Rfam family: Bacterial small subunit ribosomal RNA
Source: RNAcentral